This 1151-nucleotide long non-coding RNA is filed under the name Homo sapiens (human). RNAcentral's name for it is "long intergenic non-protein coding RNA 293". Lineage: Eukaryota; Metazoa; Chordata; Mammalia; Primates; Hominidae. The record is from RNAcentral.
UGUAACAUAUUUCUGGACCCAUUUUCUAGGUUACAUGACUCUCCCCUCCUGCCUGUGCCCUGAUUCCUUGGUAACUACAGCAUUUCUGAGCACUGCAUCCAAAUGAUAUGACUGUCUUGCCUGGGCCCUGUCAACAGGAGGCAUUGUGACAUAUUUUGGGGCCCAUCAUUUAGGGGAUAAGACUCUCCUCUCCUGCUUGGACACUGCCCACAAGGGACAUUGUGCCACAGCGCUGGACCUAGCACACAAGUUAUGUGACGUUUCUGACAGGUCUGCCUAAAAAGAGGAUUUUGGAAUAUUUCUGGCCCAGCAUUUAGGUGAUGUGGCUGUCCUGCCUGCUUCAUAACCACAGAGGGGAUUGUAACAUAUGCCUAGGCACAGCUCACAGGCAUGAUAAUGACUCUUAUAUAUGGAUUCAGCCAAUAGAGGAUAUUUUGACUUUUAUAACCAGAUUUACAUACAUGCAUGAUGUCUUGGAUCACAUUCCUGUACAAAGGUCACAAAAGAUUACAACACUCACACAUAUUUUACAAAGUCUUUCGGUAAUACAGACAGAGCCAAAGCAGGGCUCAGCACACACGUGAAAUUGUUAGUCAUGUAUCCAGACCCAGCUGACAGUAAGGAUUGUCAUCAUUUCACAUGGAUGAAGCCAACUGUGACACAUGAAAACAGAACAAGUGUGGUAUUGUGAAUCUCAUCUUUGGAAUUUUCUGACAGUACGAUUGUGAUACAAAUUUUUUCCAAGCAACUGUGUAAUUUGACCCUACAGAGUUUUUCCAGCACAUAUAUGGGAUUGUGAUGUCUACCUAGGCCAAUCUCAAGGUGAUAUAACCCUCUUCUCUGGAAUGGGCCCCACACAAAGGAAGGAUAGUGACAUAUUGCAAGCCCAGGCACACAGGUGGUUUGGUGACGUUUGAACCAUGAUUCAGCAAAUCUGUAUUGCUUUUACUCCCCUACUGGAACACAAUCUUCAAGGGGCAUUGGGGCUUUUAUACAUGGAUCUUGCCUAUUGUUGAGAUUGCGACUCCUGUAUUUUGACCCAACUCAUAGGAGGUGUUAUCUCUCAUACCUGAAGCCAGGACUUUUGUUGGACUGUGAAACUUAUUUCUGAACAUUUUUGAGUGUGUGAUUGAGAAGUAUGACUUUGCCCA